GGCCAGGGUGGGCGGAGGGAAGCUGUGGGGAGAUCGCAGCACCCAGCGCCAAGCGCAGCGCAGCACCGCGACAGACGGCAGGAGCACCCAUCGACGGGCGCAGCUGGAGAGAGCCCAGCAUAGAGAGGCGGGCUCAAAACCGAGAACCCUGCCGGGCGGCAUCCCCCGGCCGCCGCACGCACAGGCCGGCGCCCUCCUCGCCUCCCUGCUCCCCACCGCGCCCCUCCGGCCAGCAUGAGGCUCCUGGCGGCCGCGCUGCUCCUGCUGCUCCUGGCGCUGUGCGCCUCGCGCGUGGACGGGUCCAAGUGUAAGUGUUCCCGGAAGGGGCCCAAGAUCCGCUACAGCGACGUGAAGAAGCUGGAAAUGAAGCCAAAGUACCCACACUGCGAGGAGAAGAUGGUUAU
RNAcentral lists this long non-coding RNA (404 nucleotides) under Rattus norvegicus (Norway rat). RNAcentral's name for it is "long non-coding RNA NONRATT012253". Lineage: Eukaryota; Metazoa; Chordata; Mammalia; Rodentia; Muridae. The record is from RNAcentral.